RNAcentral lists this long non-coding RNA (709 nucleotides) under Androctonus crassicauda. Lineage: Eukaryota; Metazoa; Arthropoda; Arachnida; Scorpiones; Buthidae. The record is from RNAcentral.
CAAAAAUAAAUUUAUCUCAAUUCAAAAUCAAAAUAAGAUUACUAAAAAUAUAAUAGAAUAGAAAGCAGAAUUGAUAAGAUUUGAUGAAAAAUAGUCCAAAUUCUAUGAAUAUAGUUAUUGUUUACUUGCUUCAUCCUCAGUUAGUUUAGGUAAAUAUAAUCAUUCACAUUUUCUGUCCUCAGUUAGUUUAAGUAAAUGGUCAUUCACAUUUUUUAUCUUUAGAAUGGAAUUUAAAAAGAAAUUUUGGCAAUCAGAAAAUUUAGGAUCCAUCAUCAGAGGCAUAUAUUUUUACCCAAUAAAUGCAAAAAACUGCUCCAUGACAGUUCCACCGUAUAACUCAGGUUGGACUUUUAUUUAUAUCGUUUUUAUUGUUAUUUUGAAUUUUUUGUUCUGCCAUCUUCCUGUAUUCAUAUGUCAAAGCAUUGAAUGGAUUAAAUAUGUGGAAUAUAUAUCAAUUUAAAUUUGAAGAAGCACAUUUCAAUUAAUAUUAAAACAUCAACAGUUGAAUGUCUCAUCAACAGAUGUUGGUUAAGAUCUUUCUUUCUAUGAGUCAUUGAUAAUUAUUGCAUAUUGGACAUAGAAUCAUAUUACCCUUCAGCACACUUUUUAUAAAAAUACAGAUAUCUGAUAUUUUCCUGUAACUUUACUGCUUUUGGUUUAUCUGCAAGAAAUAUUGGUAUUUUAUGGAAAAUAUAAUAUAUUAUUAUCU